GUCUUUUUGAAUAUAAUUUAAAGUCUAAUCUGCCCAAUGAAAAUUAAAUGGCCGCAGUAUAUUGACUGUGCAAAGGUAGCAUAAUCAUUAGUUUUUUAAUUGAAAGCUGGAAUGAAUGAUUGAAUGAAAAAAUAACUGUCUCAACAUAAAUUAUUUAGAAUUUUAUUUUUAAGUUAAAAAGCUUAAAUUUAAUUAAAAGACGAGAAGACCCUAUAGAGUUUAAUAUAUAAAUAUUUUAAAUUAUAUUUAGUAUAUAAAAUCUUAUAAUAUUAGUGUAUUUAAUUGGGGUGAUUAUAAAAUUAAUAAAACUUUUAUUUUUAAUAACAUUAAUAUAUGAAUAUUUGAUCCAUAGAUUUUGAUUAUAAGAUAAAAUUACCUUAGGGAUAACAGCGUAAUAUUUUUUUAGAGUUCUAAUCGAUAAAAGAGAUUGCGACCUCGAUGUUGGAUUAAAGUUAAUUGAUGGUGUAGAAGCUAUUAAAUUAGGUCUGUUCGACCUUUAAAACUUUACA
RNAcentral lists this ribosomal RNA (509 nucleotides) under Philothermopsis sp. CO927. RNAcentral describes it as "partial 16S ribosomal RNA". The stretch from base 383 to 509 matches the Rfam family "Bacterial large subunit ribosomal RNA", at positions 2473 to 2600 of the family's 2925-position model. The record is from RNAcentral. Lineage: Eukaryota; Metazoa; Arthropoda; Insecta; Coleoptera; Cerylonidae.